GUGUACAACUACUGUAACUUGCUCUGGAUAAGAGCGUCUGCUAAAUGACUAAAA
Non-coding RNA from Salmo salar (Atlantic salmon), 54 nucleotides. NCBI's taxonomy places the organism in Eukaryota, Metazoa, Chordata, Actinopteri, Salmoniformes, Salmonidae. The record is from Rfam.